CGUCUUGUCGUCGUCUCAUGGUAAUAGUGGGAAGGAGGAAAGUCCGGGCAACAUAGAGCGCCAUACUUCCUAACGGGAAGGGGGCUGACUGGUGACGGUCAGUUUACAGCUAGUGCAACAGAGAAUAUACCGCCAAUCGACUUCGGGGCCUGCCCUGAGCUUGUCGAAGGGUAAGGGUGAAAAGGUGGGGUAAGAGCCCACCGGUCUGGCAGUGAUGUCAGGGGCAUGGCAAACCUUAUGGGUUGAAAGAUCAAAUAGGUUCCGCGUCGGAUUCAAUUCCGAGAAAAGUUGCUCGCUUUUAUGCGGAAUGGGUAGAUCGAUGGACCUCGAUUGUGAAGUCGAGGCUAGAUAAAUGGCAAGAAACUAAUUCUGGAAACAGAAAAGGAAACAGAACCCGGCUUAUAG
This 405-nucleotide RNase P RNA is filed under the name Algoriphagus locisalis. RNAcentral's name for it is "Bacterial RNase P class A". It matches the Rfam family "Bacterial RNase P class A". From Rfam's summary of the family: Ribonuclease P (RNase P) is a ubiquitous endoribonuclease, found in archaea, bacteria and eukarya as well as chloroplasts and mitochondria. Its best characterised activity is the generation of mature 5'-ends of tRNAs by cleaving the 5'-leader elements of precursor-tRNAs. Cellular RNase Ps are ribonucleoproteins. Lineage: Bacteria; Pseudomonadati; Bacteroidota; Cytophagia; Cytophagales; Cyclobacteriaceae. The record is from RNAcentral.